CCUACGGGAGGCAGCAGUGGGGGAUAUUGCACAAUGGGGGAAACCCUGAUGCAGCGACGCCGCGUGGGUGAAGAAGCGCCUCGGCGCGUAAAGCCCUGUCAGCAGGGAAGAAAAUGACGGUACCUGAAGAAGAAGCCCCGGCUAACUACGUGCCAGCAGCCGCGGUAAUACGUAGGGGGCAAGCGUUAUCCGGAUUUACUGGGUGUAAAGGGGGCGCAGACGGCGGUGCAAGUCAGGAGUGAAAGCCCGGGGCCCAACCCCGGGACUGCUCUUGGAACUGGGCGGCUAGAGUGCAGGAGGGGCAGGCGGAAUUCCUGGUGUAGCGGUGAAAUGCGUAGAUAUCAGGAGGAACACCGGUGGCGAAGGCGGCCUGCUGGACUGCAACUGACGUUGAGGCCCGAAAGCGUGGGGAGCAAACAGGAUUAGAUACCCGAGUAGUC
Molecule: ribosomal RNA, 440 nt
Filed under: uncultured bacterium
Lineage: Bacteria
Description: partial 16S ribosomal RNA
Rfam family: Bacterial small subunit ribosomal RNA
Source: RNAcentral